Molecule: ribosomal RNA, 253 nt
Filed under: uncultured bacterium
Lineage: Bacteria
Description: partial 16S ribosomal RNA
Rfam family: Bacterial small subunit ribosomal RNA
Source: RNAcentral
UACGUAGGGGGCAAGCGUUGUCCGGAAUCAUUGGGCGUAAAGCGCGUGUAGGCGGCUGGCUAAGUCCGCUCUGAAAGCCCGGGGCUCAACCCCGGGAGGCGGGUGGAUACUGGUCAGCUCGAGUCCGGAAGAGGAGUGUGGAAUUCCUGGUGUAGCGGUGAAAUGCGCAGAUAUCAGGAGGAACACCGGUGGCGAAGGCGGAUCUCUGGGCCUUACCUGACGCUGAGGAGCGAAAGCAUGGGGAGCAAACAGG